AUGAUAAUAGAACGAAUUGUGUGGCCAGAACCAGACAGUGAUGAAGAGGAGGAAAUUGAUGAUUACUGCAGUGUGGUUGCUCACUUGCGGCAGUACAUCAGCUUAAUUUCUUCCUCCGAACUGCAGCACCUCAUUGAGUUUUGGACGGGUUGGGCGGUGCUGCCGGACAAGCUGUACGUCAGUGUUGACCGGGAUGCCACCUACCCGACAGCUUCUACCUGUUUCACCAAAUUGAAAAUCCCAAUAGGAUGUGGGUCCUACAGGGAUUUUUGUGUUAAGUUGGGGGCAGUUGUGAUCACCACUAAGUUUGGCUUUGGGAGGAUCUAGGUUUUGGGUCUUGGUUUCUAUCAUUUUACCUUGUGUCUUACCUUUUUAGUUCAAAUUGUUUGUUUUCGCAGUUUGCAAUAUAAUAUUAUUCCACACUUUCACACAUGUUGAGACAAUACGACAUUCCUCCUUACUAUUUGUCCGCCAAAAAGGGUGUUUUAAGCAUUGAAUUUAGGAAGUGAGUGCAAUGAAAAAAAGGUCAUUUUUUAAUAAAAGCAAAGCUCAAUAGGCAGAAGCUAGUUUGUCACAGUAUUGUCACUCACUUAUAUUAUGUUGGUUCAGUUCAUGUCAAUGGAACGGCAGUAUGUUUGGAUGAGGAAGAAUUAAGCAUACACUGCAUGUAAAGGGGAAGGUAGAUUCAUAUAUAUUUACAAAUUUGUAAAUCCUUGGAGAGAACAUCAUGCUGUUUGAAAAAUGUCUUGUGACUGCUCAACAACUGAGCUGCAAACAACAUAGCCUCAUUCAGUGAAACAUUUCGCUGAGGCAAUCGUGAGAGCUCCUCAGCAGUCAGGUCACGUGGUAGUUGGAUCUCCGGAACGUCGACUCCAGACAGGUCUUCCAGGUCCGGACCAUCUACACUGGCACUAUAAAGAUCGUCAACCUUAGGAAAUAAUACCAGUAUGAGCAAUCAGAGCAAUAGCCAGAGUAAAUUACAUGAACAGAAUUAGGAGUUGCAUGACCUCUGUGGAUGUUUGGAAACCCUAAUUAAAAUGUACAAUUUACAAUAUAAUUUACUUAUCGUAAUAUCCUCGUUUUGGGCCAAUCUUUAUAGCUGAACCUACAUCUGGGGGAUCAGCAACAGCACGUAUGUUGCGUAGCCACAGCUGGUAGCGUGACUAGCUAUUUUCAGUCCUCAGGCUGUGGAAAUUCCAGGCAUCUUGGAAAUGCCUGAGAUGGCUCUGGACCAAUGUCAGGAAAACCCAGUGGAGAGCGAAGAGGUGGAUCUCACUGUCUGGAUUCAACGUCCGUGAUGCUUCCAUUUCGUGGAAGAGAUCGAGCACUUGUGUGUAUACAUCUCUCUAAAGUCCCUCAAUUCUUAAAAACAGAAAAAGAUGUUAUGAUUAACAUAAAAUGGCCUCUAUGACUAUUUAAGGUAUGGAGUUGUAAAAGAUGAAUGAAGACAAAAUAGCUUGGUUGGUUGUUGGUACAAUUCAACAACCUAUUCAACUUACCUUUGAUUAUGCACACUCCUCCCAGUUAUGUGGGAAUUGCGGUUGGAUCCGCAGUUGUCCAACAUGUAAUAUGCCACCUCAAUGUUCUCUCUCCCCUUAUCCGACCGGACACAAGAUGGCACACCAUACUGCCUGACAGCUCCAAGAAAAGCAUCCAGCAAUGUUGUGGCACGGUUGUUGGUGGCUGCUGACAAGAACACCACUAGGCGGCUGAAGCCAUACAUCCCACGGUGGAUAACAAAUCUCCAACUUUUUGUUAAAGGAUAAACUAUAAUUACUACGAUUAUUUGACAUUCAUUUACAUAUCGUAUUAAUUUGUGAUUGCCAUCAAUAUGCCACGUACAGUUGGGCCCAGGAACUGAAUAUUGCCGCCUAUGUGGAGUUCGGUUGGCCAGGGCUCUUUGUUCUGUGCCCUCUGGUUUCACUCUUUUUAAGGAUUGGCGUACUCUGUGAACUUCACAUAGCACAGAAAAUCAAAAAUCAAGAACAGACAUAAAACAACAGCAUCAGUUUGGGUGCUUAUAGGUACAAGAGGUAGGUAAACAUACUUUGGACCAGAUGGCCUCUUCCCUGGAGAUGGUAUCGCAACAUCCGGUAGCCACACAGAUGGAUCCUGUGGAUCUCCAGCACCAGGGCGUCCAGCUGCGUGUCACUCAUCUCAGAAUACAUGGCUGACACACUUAGGAAAGGGAUAAAAAAAUAUCCUUGAUGAGUAACUGUUCCACUCUUAAACGUGUUCUUAGUAAUUUAUGAAGAUAAACUUAUUUUUAGGACACAUCGGCCAGCGAAAUAUAUAUUUAUAUAUUAUAUUAAUAUUUGACGAGUGUUGCCCGACACUUACCAUAGGCCUACUCGCCACACACAUAAGCACAGUCAUCCGACACCUGUGGUUACAGGUGUAACCUGGUUCUGCACGACCGGGUGCUCAGCCUGAUCCAGGUGAGCCAAGCGUCAUCUCUCUCCUACGAU
Long non-coding RNA from Gadus morhua (Atlantic cod), 2468 nucleotides. The record is from Ensembl. Lineage: Eukaryota; Metazoa; Chordata; Actinopteri; Gadiformes; Gadidae.